RNAcentral lists this long non-coding RNA (884 nucleotides) under Cairina moschata (Muscovy duck). RNAcentral describes it as "domestica (muscovy Duck (domestic type)) lncRNA (ENSCMMG00000004224.1)". Lineage: Eukaryota; Metazoa; Chordata; Aves; Anseriformes; Anatidae. The record is from RNAcentral.
UGAGAUUCCUCUGUAACAAUUUAUCCAGCUUAAUAAAGGCAAAUCUCCUUUUUCUUCAAGGUUUUUGACUUUUUCAUACCCUGACUAGACUUGAAAGAAGAGUUCAGUCUCAGAACAGCCUUUUUCUUUCCCACAGAGGAAGACUGGAAUCUCUUAAGAGUCUGUCACUGCUACUCUGGUUGACAGGUGAUGUCGCCAAUGAGAUAAGAAUCGUUGCAUUCCCCACAUCAAAAGGUGGAACACACUGUAUGACAUCUGUUUGCUGGAAGAAAUACUAACCAUAGAAGUCCUUAAGAACAUCAACAUUUAUUUAAUAUGAUAUAAAAGAAAUGAGAUAUGAACAAUCGUAUCUGAACAGUAAGUGGUUUCUUAUACUUACAUCGUAUGUGCUCAUUGUAUAGUAUAUACACAAUGAACAUAAUUACAUUUUUACACAAACUAAGCACUGGAUUGAAAACCUGCUUAUUGCUGUACACAUCCUAACCCAAAGGAAAAGUCCAGUACCUCAAAAUACCUACACUCCAUUUUAUUUAAGAAAAAGUAAGUACUAACAUUAAUGUAUUUGUUGACAGAAGUGUGGCAGUAACUGCUGACUUUGCAACCUGACCAAGAAGUAAUUACAGCAGAAACAGGACAUAUUUUACUAAGCAAUAAUAAAAAUGGCACAUUUUAAAUAUAUCUAUAUGCAUAUAUAUAUAUAAAAAUUUUACAAAUAAAAUGUUAAAACAAUAAAUUGUAGUGUUUAAAAAGUGUAAAACAGGUUUAGUGGUGAUAUGUAAAAUUAACUGUUAUGCAUCUAAAAGAAGCAAAAAAGUAAACUUAUAUGAUCUGUCAUUAAAAGAACAUUAAUUCUGGAAAACAAAGUUCUGACUGUAGGCUGCACA